CAUGGUGGUGCGUGCCUGUAAUCCCAGCUACUAGGAGGCUGAGGCAUGAGAAUCACUUGAACCCAGGAGGCGGAGGUUGCAGUGAGCUGAGAUCACGCCAUUGCACUCCAGCCUGGGCGACAGAGCAAGACUGUCAAAAUAUAUAUAUAUAUAUAUUCACACACACACACAUAGGCAAUACAACAGUUAAAUGAAUACACUAGAGCUAUACCCAACUUGGAUGAAUUUCAGUCUUGUGAGAAGAAGUAAUAUAUAUAUAUAGGGGAAAAAAGGCAAAACUAUAUUAAAAAUACAUGGGUAGGUGGUAAAAGGGGUUAUAAAUAUGGAAAGGAAGAAAAUUAGAAUGAACUUUGUAGUGUUGGGUUGGAAUUGGAGAUAUUGGUGUGACCUCAUGGUUUUUAAGAUAGAGAAAUAACUAUUAAAUGCAAAUUAUGUAUACACUUCUAUCCAGUGAGAGGGCUGAGGAUCAGUGACAACUCAGUAGCCAUGAGAAUACCUAACACCCAGAUCGUGGUUUCUAAAUAUGCUCUUGACUAAAAGGAACCAGGGCUUCUUGGAGAUAUAGCUGAUUUCAGAGCUGUGGCAGAGAAAGUACAAGCUGGUCCCGAAACAUCUCACUCUGGAAAACAAGGAACUGUUCCAAGAAUGAUGGGGACAUGUCAAAAGCACACAGAAACCAGCUUGAAGGGACUCUCACUGGCUAAAUAUAGGAAAAAUUGAGCAUCAAAAUUAAUAAUGGGGGCAGGUGCUGUGGUUCAUGCCUGUAGUCCCAGCACUUUGGGAGGCCAGGGUGGGAGGAUUGCUUGAGCACAGGAGAACCGCCUGGGCAACAUGGUGACACCCUGUCUCUACACAAAAUACGAAAGUUAGCCAGGCAUGGUGGUAUGUGCCUGUGGUCCCAGAUACUCAGGAGGCUGAGGCAGGAGAAUCAGUUGAGCCUGGUCGAGGCUGUAGUGAGCUGUGAUCACACCACUGUACUCCAGGCUGGGCGACACAGCGAGACCCUGUCUCAAAAAAAUGAAUGAAUGAAUAAAUGAAUAAAAUUGAUUAUAAUCCAUUGGAUAAAACAGGAAUCUAUUUUUAAAAAUAAAUGGAUUGAUGAGGACAGGAUAUUUGCACAGUGUCAGAAUAACUCCAUCCCCCAAAAUAUUAAUGACAAAAAGAAAAGGAACUUUAUAGUGGAAAGCCCGGUAGACACCACCUUAACCAAGUGAUUGAAGUUAACAUCACCAGUGAGGGGACAAAUCAAAAUCAUUCUCCACCUGGUAGGAUGCAGGGAAAACAACACAGCACCAUUCCAGUGAUAGUCCUGCCAGAAAUACAUAGCUUGGAUUUAAUCAGCAGGAAUUGAUCUUCAAACAAAUCAAAUUGAGGGACAUUCUACAGAAUAACUUGCCUAUUAACAUCAAAGGCUUCAAGGUUGUGAAAGUCAAGGAAAGACUGGAAAACGGUUCUAGACUGAAGAAAACAAAAGAGACGUGAAAUUAAAUGAAAAUGAUUCUGGACUAGAUCCUUUUUCCUAAAGAUCAUUGAACAGGGUCUAAAGAUGAGUUGACAGUCAUGCAGCAGUGUUACUUUCCUAACUAUGAUGGUUUAAUUGUGGUUAUGUAGGAGAAUGUCUUCAUUUGUCAGAGAUACAUGUCUCAUUUUCAUUUUUGUAGUUAGAAUCUAUAAGAUAUAUUCUACUUUUUAUUCAAGUCCAUUUAUUCAGAUCUCAGCAUUAACUAUCCUCUCCACCAUUUUACAUAUUGAAUUUUUUAGUUUAUAA
Molecule: long non-coding RNA, 1768 nt
Filed under: Homo sapiens (human)
Lineage: Eukaryota; Metazoa; Chordata; Mammalia; Primates; Hominidae
Description: HSALNT0239180
Source: RNAcentral